ACCUCGGGGGGCAGCAGUGGGGGAUAUUGCACAAUGGGGGGAACCCUGAUGCAGCGACGCCGCGUGGGCGAUGGAGUACUUCGGUAUGUAAAGCCCUAUCAGCAGGGAAGAAAAUGACGGUACCUGACUAAGAAGCCCCGGCUAAAUACGUGCCAGCAGCCGCGGUAAUACGUAUGGGGCAAGCGUUAUCCGGAUUUACUGGGUGUAAAGGGAGCGUAGGCGGCCUGGCAAGCCUGAUGUGAAAUACCGGGGCCCAACCCCGGGGCUGCAUUGGGAACUGCCAGGCUGGAGUGCCGGCGAGGCAG
This 305-nucleotide ribosomal RNA is filed under the name uncultured bacterium. Its description in RNAcentral is "bacterial SSU rRNA". It matches the Rfam family "Bacterial small subunit ribosomal RNA", at positions 335 to 660 of the family's 1533-position model. The record is from RNAcentral.